AACGAACGCUGGCGGCAGGCUUAACACAUGCAAGUCGAACGCCCUCUUCGGAGGGAGUGGCAGACGGGUGAGUAACGCGUGGGAACCUACCUAUCAGUACGGAAUAACUCAGGGAAACUUGUGCUAAUACCGUAUACGUCCUUAGGGAGAAAGAUUUAUCGCUGAUAGAUGGGCCCGCGUUGGAUUAGCUAGUUGGUGGGGUAAUGGCCCACCAAGGCGACGAUCCAUAGCUGGUCUGAGAGGAUGAUCAGCCACACUGGGACUGAGACACGGCCCAGACUCCUACGGGAGGCAGCAGUGGGGAAUAUUGGACAAUGGGCGAAAGCCUGAUCCAGCCAUGCCGCGUGAGUGAAGAAGGCCUUAGGGUUGUAAAGCUCUUUCAGUGGGGAAGAUAAUGACGGUACCCACAGAAGAAGCUCCGGCUAACUUCG
RNAcentral lists this ribosomal RNA (431 nucleotides) under uncultured Hyphomicrobiales bacterium. Its description in RNAcentral is "bacterial SSU rRNA". It matches the Rfam family "Bacterial small subunit ribosomal RNA", at positions 29 to 505 of the family's 1533-position model. The record is from RNAcentral. Lineage: Bacteria; Pseudomonadati; Pseudomonadota; Alphaproteobacteria; Hyphomicrobiales.